Molecule: small RNA, 819 nt
Filed under: Rattus norvegicus (Norway rat)
Lineage: Eukaryota; Metazoa; Chordata; Mammalia; Rodentia; Muridae
Description: uncharacterized LOC102550580
Source: RNAcentral
GGGUGGGGAUGGAAAUAAUAGCCACCACUGAGAUUAUAUUCUGGUUUUGGCCCCCAAAGAGAAAGAAAACUGAAUGUGUUCUAUCAUGAGGAGCCUAUGAUAGGAUCGACUUUAGAAUAUUGUAAUUUACUAGAGGAAGGAGGCAAAAAACAAAACAAAACAAAUAAGCAAAACUCAGAGCCACAAGAAAUUCGGUGGGAAACUAGGCCUCAAAGCUGAAAAUGAAAAGUCGACCUGGGGGAAGAUUUUUAAAUAAGUGGGUCAGAGGGACCAAGAGGACAUGAGGCGAUCAAUCUUAGCCCCCUGACAGCUCCCUCCGAUUGCAUCAAAGAAUUUGGCUCUUCGGGAAAGCAGAGGGAACAGCCUAAAUUCCACAUCCCUUAAAAAGGCCUGAGGGAGGGGGGAGCCAACAGAGAAAGGUGAUUCUGGGAGAUCUAGGAAACAGAUGGGAAAUGGGGACAGAGGGAAGGCGCUAACUUGGGUGGAAAGUUUGCCCCGGAGAACUCCCACGGCUCUGUCCUCCCCUCCCCCCUCUUCGCCCUCUGUCGCCCAGCCUAGAGGAGAAGGCUGCUUAGCAGGGAAAUGGAGAGCUGGAACUAGAAACUUUCUGUCAGUGUAACGUCCGCGUGGGUGGUGACCCAAUGGUGGUUGGGCUUCGAGUCACGUGACAGCCUCAUUGUGGCUCCGGAACAGAACGUGAAGUUUAGGUUGCCUGGAAGAAGCAGUAAUAAGCUAAAUUUUUUGGUUGGCUUGAUGAGACUGAAAGGGAGAAUCAAAAAAAAAAUCAAGAUUUGGGGGAAUUACCCACAGAGAUGCAAG